UCUACCCUAUGAACUGAAACUGGGGAGGAUCCAAUACAGCUGUAUUCAUGACAUCUUAAUUCCCAUUGAUUUCAGUGGGACAAGGCAGAAUCAUCUUGUGGGAGUGGGACCAAGCUGUGGAAAAACAUCUUCUGGAUUACUUACGUCUAUAGGCUGCUUUUCAUAAGAAUUUAAGAACCACCCUGCUGCACCAAAGGACCAUCUAGUUCAGCAUCCUGUAUCACAGUGGUCCCUGUGCCCCCAGGAAUCCCACUAGCAGGACUCAAACAAAAUAACUUGCUUUAGCAGUUUUCCCCAAUGAAUGGGUGCCACGUGCAAAGGCAAAAUGGAUCUUUCCUUGCAGAGUCCUACCUCCUGGCAGUUUAAAUUCGUGCAAGUGAUGAAAUGGCUGUUGCAAAACAUGCUUUGGGAAUCUGAAUGAAUUUCAAACUGAGGAUCAGGUCUGCUUCCAGUUUUCAUUCAACCCAGGUGAGGAAACGGAAGUCCUAAACCAGUGUCUUGCUGCAGCAAUCGGCAGGAUAUUCCCGGCUCCUCUUUUAAUGUCUUUUCAGCACUAAGCAAAUAAUCUUUUGAUUUCCCGACGCCUUCUAAAUAACAUUUUAGAUUGUAAUGUUUCCCCCCUUCCUUGCUCUCAAUUGUCUUUGAAACGUUUUCAGUCGUAUUUGGUGUUUUAAUGCUGUGUUUUAUUGUGCUGUGCUCUAUUUUUAAUUUGCUUUCUCCCCCUCCCCAAGUCUAUAAAUAAUGUAAACAAAGAAAUAAACAAAAACAGUGCUUUGUGUGUAAAAAGGUCCCAUGCUCAAUCCUUGGUAUCUCCAGGUGGAAAGAUGUAUUUUUAAUUGCCCGUAUAAUCCUGAUGGAAUAGAAGAGUUUUCAGCUGGCGUUUAAAAGAUGAAACAGAAGGCACCUGCUGAAUCUCUAGUGGCAGAGUGUUCCACAGGACUGGGCCAAUGACACUAGAGGCUCGGUUCCUUGUUGAUGAGCCUUGCCUCCUUGGGGAAUGACCAGUGAUGCUCCAGCAAAUGGUCUCAGUAUUCAAGAUGCGAUAUAAGAGUUCAGGUACCCUGAGGUACCCUGAGCCUACGUUGUUCAGGGAUUUGUAAAUUAAUAUAAUCCAUUAGAACCUGGCUCAGGCAGCCAGUGCAGGUGUUUUAACAAUGAUGUCAGAUGUUGUCAGUCAAACAACCCCGUCAACAGGGCUACUGGAUGGGGAUGAUAUGAACUGCCAUCCAAAAACAUCUAGAGGGCACUACGUUGGCUAGCUCUGCUAUCAGGAAUAAUCUUAAAAUAAAGAGGAAUCUCAGAGGUCCAUAAAUAUAGAUUGUAGAAACUUACUCUGAGAGGAAGUGUCAAUUCACACUAUUUCCGAAGGACAUAAAUACAAAGACCUGGCAAGAUGUGAAUUCCAGAAUAGAACAGAAGAAA
Molecule: long non-coding RNA, 1422 nt
Filed under: Podarcis muralis (Common wall lizard)
Lineage: Eukaryota; Metazoa; Chordata; Lepidosauria; Squamata; Lacertidae
Description: lncRNA (ENSPMRG00000018682.1)
Source: RNAcentral